Molecule: ribosomal RNA, 253 nt
Filed under: uncultured bacterium
Lineage: Bacteria
Description: partial 16S ribosomal RNA
Rfam family: Bacterial small subunit ribosomal RNA
Source: RNAcentral
UACAGAGGGGGCGAGCGUUGUUCGGAAUUACUGGGCGUAAAGGGCGCGUAGGCGGCCCGCUAAGUCGAACGUGAAAUCCCCGGGCUCAACCCGGGAACUGCGUCCGAUACUGGCAGGCUUGAAUCCGGGAGAGGGAUGUGGAAUUCCAGGUGUAGCGGUGAAAUGCGUAGAUAUCUGGAGGAACACCGGUGGCGAAGGCGGCAUCCUGGACCGGUAUUGACGCUGAGGCGCGAAAGCCAGGGGAGCAAACGGG